GAUGAACGCUGGCGGCGUGCCUAAUACAUGCAAGUCGAGCGAACAGACGAGGAGCUUGCUCCUUUGACGUUAGCGGCGGACGGGUGAGUAACACGUGUAUAACCUACCUAUAAGACUGGGAUAACUUCGGGAAACCGGAGCUAAUACCGUAUAAUAUAUUGAACCGCAUGGUUCAAUAGUGAAAGACGGCUUUGCUGUCACUUAUAGAUGGAUCCGCGCCGCAUUAGCUAGUUGGUAAGGUAACGGCUUACCAAGGCUACGAUGCGUAGCCGACCUGAGAGAGUGAUCGGCCACACUGGAACUGGGACACGGUCCAGACUCCUACGGGAGGCAGCAGUAGGGAAUCUUCCGCAGUGGGCGAGAGCCUGACGGAGCAACGCCACGUGAGUGAUGAAGGUCUUCGGAUCGUAAAACUCUGUUAUUAGGGAAGAACAAAUGUGUAAGUAACUAUGCACGUAUUGACGGUAACUAAUAAGAAAGCCACGGCUAACUACGUG
Molecule: ribosomal RNA, 497 nt
Filed under: uncultured bacterium
Lineage: Bacteria
Description: partial 16S ribosomal RNA
Rfam family: Bacterial small subunit ribosomal RNA
Source: RNAcentral